This 447-nucleotide ribosomal RNA is filed under the name uncultured bacterium. RNAcentral's name for it is "partial 16S ribosomal RNA". It matches the Rfam family "Bacterial small subunit ribosomal RNA", at positions 29 to 523 of the family's 1533-position model. The record is from RNAcentral.
AGCGAACGCUGGCGGCGGGUCUAACACAUGCAAGUCGAGCGCCCAGCAAUGGGAGCGGCAGACGGGUGAGUAACGCGUGGGGAUGUGCCCAAUGGUGCGGAAUAACCCAGGGAAACUUGGAUUAAUACCGCAUGUGCCCUUCGGGGGAAAGAUUUAUCGCUAUUGGAUCAACCCGCGUCUGAUUAGCUAGUUGGUGAGGUAAAGGCUCACCAAGGCGACGAUCAGUAGCUGGUCUGAGAGGAUGAUCAGCCACACUGGGACUGAGACACGGCCCAGACUCCUACGGGAGGCAGCAGUGGGGAAUAUUGGACAAUGGGCGCAAGCCUGAUCCAGCCAUGCCGCGUGAGUGAUGAAGGCCUUAGGGUUGUAAAGCUCUUUCGCCGGUGAAGAUAAUGACGGUAACCGGAGAAGAAGCCCCGGCUAACUUCGUGCCAGCCGCCGCGGUAA